RNAcentral lists this long non-coding RNA (1160 nucleotides) under Equus caballus (horse). Its description in RNAcentral is "lncRNA (ENSECAG00000048639.1)". Lineage: Eukaryota; Metazoa; Chordata; Mammalia; Perissodactyla; Equidae. The record is from RNAcentral.
GAGAUGAAGACACUGGCCUCACAUGAGGUCCAGCUGAACUGGAGAAGGGGAAGCCUCUACGGAAAGAGCAGAGGGCUGAUCCUGGGCUGCCGGGGGAAAAAGGGCUCAAUCCCAGCAGGAAAGUGAAGGAGGGAAGAAAAAUGCAAUAAUUUUAGCGUAAAGAUAACUUCAUUCACAGAAAAUAUUUCAAUGGCAAGUGUUUUCGUGUCUGGACAAUUCUAGCUUCCAUGGGUUAAUGGAGACAGAGAUAGAAGUUGGAGAUAGAGUCCAGAAGGAAGUCUGGUGCCGAUAUUUUCUUAGAACUAUUUUAUCAAGCCCAGAAGAGGGUUUUCCUAUCAUUUCUCAGAACUCUGCUGCUCCAAGAACUCAGAGGACAGCCCGCAGAGGGUCAAGAAUAAAACCCUUUCUGACUUAACUCUCUGAUACUCUGAAGUGAGGGGAAUGGGGCUCGAAGUCUCCUUCGGCUACACCCCUGCCUGGAUGUUGAGAGAUGAGAGCAUCAAGCCUAGAGCCUGCUGAAAUAGAGGUCAAAGAGAUGGAAGAAGCCAGAAGAACCAGUCAGACAUGACCACAGGCAGAGAACCCACAGCCUCCCUCCCUCACCUUUCUCCCAGCUCCCAGAGAAUCCUAUUUGUUUUACAAAAUCUUCCUGUCAGACUCCCUAGGAUCAUAAUCCCCCAUCUCCCCGACUGGUGACUUCUCCCCUUACCCUUUGCAUCCCCAGGGGGCAUGGAUGUCCCCUCUCAUUGCGAUCAGCAGAAAAUCCCCACAAUCUCUGGCUACCACUUCACUCAUGCCAACACACAUGCACACUCGCCCAAGCUACUGAUAUAAUAAGGCUCAUACUGGGCCCCAGAAGCAGCAGGAGCAUCCGCAUCUUCAGGGGUUGGUCUCAUACCACCUUCUCUCAAGAGAGGUAUGACUAUGCUCUUCUUUCCUCCUUUCUCCACCCCUAGAAAGAUAUAUGAUGCACUUACAUAAUCCUGAGGAUGCUCUAAUCUGCUCCCUGGUUGAAUUCUUUGGCCAUUUCACUCAAGUUGCAUGAGUUUUGUAGGCUGUAUCAUGGAGCCGUAAAAUGCAAGAAGAGGCCACACAGACAUCUAGCUCCAAAGUCUCAUUUUAUGGAAGAAAAAAUUGAAAUCUAUACAGGUGAAUAAGAA